UAAUUCUAGAGCUAAUAUUUACUGAAAAGCCGUGACUUUAUGAAGCGGCGGAUUUAUUAGAUCAAAAUCAACGCUCAGCAAUGGGCCGAAAUUGAUGAAUCUGGAUAACUUUACUGAUCGUACGACCUUUGUGUUGACGACAUAUCUCUUGAAAAGGCUGACCUAUCAACUUUCGAUGGUAAGAUCAAAGCUUACCAUGGUUGUAACGGGUAACGGGGAAUCAGUGUUCGAUUCCGGAGAGGGAGCCUGAGAAACGGCUACCACAUCUACGGAAGGCAGCAGGCGCGCAAAUUACCCAAUACCGGCUCGGUGAGGUAGUGACAAAAAAUAUAUGGCCGGUGCUCUUUAAUGGGUGUCGGUCAUAACCGACAAGUUUACUUUGAAAAAAUUAGAGUGCUUAAAGCAGGCUUAUGCUUGUAUAUUGUUGCAUGGAAUAAUGAAAUAGGACUUCGGUUUUAUUUUGUUGGUUUUCGAAACUGAAGUAAUGAUUAAAAGAGACUGCCGGGGACAUAUGUAUGCUGGUGUGAGAGGUGAAAUUCUAAGAUCGCCAGCAGACAAACUACUGCGAAAGCAUUUGUCAAGAAUGUUUUCAUUAAUCAAGAACGAAAGUCAGAGGAUCGAAGACGAUCAGAUACCGUCCUAGUUCUGACCAUAAACUAUGCCAACUGACAGUUAGUGAAGGUAGUUUUCACGUCCUCACUAGAAGUCACCGGGAAACCUAAGUCUAUGGGUUCCGGGGGAAGUAUGGUUGCAAAGCUGAAACUUAAAGGAAUUGACGGAAGGGCACCACCAGGAGUGGAGCCUGCGGCUUAAUUUGACUCAACACGGGAAAUCUCACCCGGUCCGGACACUGUGAGGAUUGACAGAUUGAUAGCUCUUUCUUGAUUCGGUGGGUGGUGGUGCAUGGCCGUUCUUAGUUGGUGGAGCGAUUUGUCUGGUUAAUUCCGAUAACGAACGAGACUCUGGCCUACUAAAUAGUACACUUGUGUUUAAUCGCAAGUGCUGACUUCUUAGAGGAAUAAGUAGCUUUUAGCUAAAUGAAAUAGAGCAAUAACAGGUCUGUGAUGCCCUUAGAUGUCCGGGGCCGCACGCGCGCUACAAUGGCAGUAUCAACGAGUUUUUUCCUAGCUAGAAAUGGCCGGGUAAUCUUGUGAAACACUGUCGUGUCAGGAAUAGUGGUUUGAAAUUUUUCCACUUGAACGAGGAAUUCCUAGUAAGCGCAAGUCACUAGCUUGCGCUGAUUACGUCCCUGCCCUUUGUACACACCGCCCGUCGCUACU
This 1280-nucleotide ribosomal RNA is filed under the name Luteostriata sp. 1 CO-2013. RNAcentral's name for it is "SSU rRNA". It matches the Rfam family "Eukaryotic small subunit ribosomal RNA", at positions 153 to 1683 of the family's 1831-position model. The record is from RNAcentral. Lineage: Eukaryota; Metazoa; Platyhelminthes; Tricladida; Geoplanidae.